GCGAACUCGGGGCCGGCUGCCGCGGUAAGACAGGGGGUGCGGGAGGUGGCCGAAAUAACGUGGCGUAAAGGGCGGGUAGGCGGCCUGAUAAGAAGGGGGGGAAAUCCUGUGGCUCAACUGCAGGGCAGCCUCCUGGACUGGCGGGCUCGGGCACGGUAGAGGCAGGUGGAAUUCCCGGUGUAGCGGUGGAAUGCGUAGAGAUCGGGAAGAACAUCGGUGGCGAAGGCGGUCUGCUGGGCCGUUGCUGACGCUGAGGCGCGACAGCGUGGGGAGCAAACAGGAUUAGAUACCCGAGUAGUC
Molecule: ribosomal RNA, 300 nt
Filed under: uncultured Denitrobacterium sp.
Lineage: Bacteria; Bacillati; Actinomycetota; Coriobacteriia; Eggerthellales; Eggerthellaceae
Description: bacterial SSU rRNA
Rfam family: Bacterial small subunit ribosomal RNA
Source: RNAcentral